GACAGAGGGUGCAAACGUUGUUCGGAAUUACUGGGCGUAAAGCGCGUGUAGGCGGCCAUCUAAGUCGGGCGUGAAAUCCCACGGCUCAACCGUGGAAGUGCACUCGAAACUGGAUGGCUAGAGUCCUGGAGAGGAAGGUGGAAUGCUUGGUGUAGAGGUGAAAUUCGUAGAUAUCAAGCGGAACACCGGUGGCGAAGGCGGCCUUCUGGACAGUGACUGACGCUGAGACGCGAAAGCUAGGGGAGCAAACAGG
RNAcentral lists this ribosomal RNA (253 nucleotides) under uncultured bacterium. Its description in RNAcentral is "partial 16S ribosomal RNA". It matches the Rfam family "Bacterial small subunit ribosomal RNA", at positions 524 to 776 of the family's 1533-position model. The record is from RNAcentral.